GUUUGAUCCUGGCUCAGGAUGAACGCUAGCGGCAGGCUUAACACAUGCAAGUCGAGGGGUAUAUGUCUUCGGAUAUAGAGACCGGCGCACGGGUGCGUAACGCGUAUGCAAUCUACCUUUUACAGAGGGAUAGCCCAGAGAAAUUUGGAUUAAUACCUCAUAGUAUAGUGACUCGGCAUCGAGAUACUAUUAAAGUCACAACGGUAAAAGAUGAGCAUGCGUCCCAUUAGCUAGUUGGUAAGGUAACGGCUUACCAAGGCUACGAUGGGUAGGGGUCCUGAGAGGGAGAUCCCCCACACUGGUACUGAGACACGGACCAGACUCCUACGGGAGGCAGCAGUGAGGAAUAUUGGACAAUGGGCGCAAGCCUGAUCCAGCCAUGCCGCGUGCAGGAUGAAGGUCCUAUGGAUUGUAAACUGCUUUUGUACGAGAAGAAACACUCCAACGUGUUGGAGCUUGACGGUAUCGUAAGAAUAAGGAUCGGCUAACUCCGUGCCAGCAGCCGCGGUAAUACGGAGGAUCCAAGCGUUAUCCGGAAUCAUUGGGUUUAAAGGGUCCGUAGGCGGUUUAGUAAGUCAGUGGUGAAAGCCCAUCGCUCAACGGUGGAACGGCCAUUGAUACUGCUAAACUUGAAUUAUUAGGAAGUAACUAGAAUAUGUAGUGUAGCGGUGAAAUGCUUAGAGAUUACAUGGAAUACCAAUUGCGAAGGCAGGUUACUACUAAUGGAUUGACGCUGAUGGACGAAAGCGUGGGUAGCGAACAGGAUUAGAUACCCUGGUAGUCCACGCCGU
Molecule: ribosomal RNA, 791 nt
Filed under: Flavobacterium sp. AKB-2008-JO11
Lineage: Bacteria; Pseudomonadati; Bacteroidota; Flavobacteriia; Flavobacteriales; Flavobacteriaceae
Description: bacterial SSU rRNA
Rfam family: Bacterial small subunit ribosomal RNA
Source: RNAcentral